This 492-nucleotide ribosomal RNA is filed under the name uncultured bacterium. RNAcentral's name for it is "partial 16S ribosomal RNA". It matches the Rfam family "Bacterial small subunit ribosomal RNA", at positions 29 to 507 of the family's 1533-position model. The record is from RNAcentral.
AGUGAACGCUGGCGGUAGGCCUAACACAUGCAAGUCGAACGGCAGCACAGUAAGAGCUUGCUCUUACGGGUGGCGAGUGGCGGACGGGUGAGGAAUACAUCGGAAUCUACUUUCUCGUGGGGGAUAACGUAGGGAAACUUACGCUAAUACCGCAUACGACCUACGGGUGAAAGCAGGGGAUCUUCGGACCUUGCGCGAUUGAAUGAGCCGAUGUCGGAUUAGCUAGUUGGCGGGGUAAAGGCCCACCAAGGCGACGAUCCGUAGCUGGUCUGAGAGGAUGAUCAGCCACACUGGAACUGAGACACGGUCCAGACUCCUACGGGAGGCAGCAGUGGGGAAUAUUGGACAAUGGGCGCAAGCCUGAUCCAGCCAUGCCGCGUGGGUGAAGAAGGCCUUCGGGUUGUAAAGCCCUUUUGUUGGGAAAGAAAAGCAGCAGGUUAAUACCCCGCUGUUCUGACGGUACCCAAAGAAUAAGCACCGGCUAACUUCGUG